RNAcentral lists this ribosomal RNA (519 nucleotides) under uncultured eukaryote. RNAcentral describes it as "bacterial SSU rRNA". It matches the Rfam family "Eukaryotic small subunit ribosomal RNA", at positions 1161 to 1662 of the family's 1831-position model. The record is from RNAcentral.
AGGGCACCGCCAGGAGUGGAGCCUGCGGCUUAAUUUGACCCAACACGGGAAAACUCACCCGGCCCGGACACCGUAAGGAUUGACAGAUUGAGAGCUCUUUCUUGAUUCGGUGGUUGGUGGUGCAUGGCCGUUCUUAGUUGGUGGAGCGAUUUGUCUGGUUUAUUCCGAUAACGAACGAGACUCUGGCCUACUAAAUAGAGACAGGAUUAUUACUGUCCUGGAUUCUUCUUAGAGGGACAAGUGGUUUUCAGCCACACGAAAUUGAGCAAUAACAGGUCUGUGAUGCCCUUAGAUGUCCGGGGCUGCACGCGCGCUACACUGAAGGAAUCAGCGUGCUAAAACCAUUGUCGAAAGGCAUUGGUAAACCCCUCAAAAUCCUACGUGAUUGGGAUAAGGGCUAAUUCUCAGCCCCCUAAUUCAAUUAACUCCCAAGUGAGUCGGAUUAUAAUUCACUGGCCGUCACUUUCCUGCCUUUUGACUGCGAAAACCCUGGCGUUACGGGACUGAGCCGUUUUGAAA